GAGUUUGAUUAUGGCUCAGGACAAACGCUGGCGGCGUGCUUAACACAUGCAAGUCGAACGAUGAAACGGAACGGAAAUUUUCGGAUGGAAGUUCUGUGGAUUAGUGGCGGACGGGUGAGUAAUGCAUGAAGAACCUGCCUUUCACAUAGGAAUAGCCUCGGGAAACCGGGAUUAAUACCAAAUGACACUCCGAGAUCGCAUGUUUUUGGGGUUAAAGAUUUUAUCGGUGAAAGAUGGCUUCAUGUCCCAUUAGCUGGUUGGUGAGGUAACGGCUCACCAAGGCGACGAUGGGUAGCCGGCCUGAGAGGGUGAACGGCCACAUUGGAACUGAGACACGGUCCAAACUCCUACGGGAGGCAGCAGUGGGGAAUAUUGCACAAUGGAGGAAACUCUGAUGCAGCGACGCCGCGUGAGCGAUGAAGGUCUUCGGAUCGUAAAGCUCUGUCCUAAGGGACGAUAA
This 460-nucleotide ribosomal RNA is filed under the name Tissierella sp. canine oral taxon 029. RNAcentral describes it as "bacterial SSU rRNA". It matches the Rfam family "Bacterial small subunit ribosomal RNA", at positions 9 to 451 of the family's 1533-position model. Lineage: Bacteria; Bacillati; Bacillota; Tissierellia; Tissierellales; Tissierellaceae. The record is from RNAcentral.